UACGUAGGGGGCGAGCGUUGUCCGGAGUUACUGGGCGUAAAGGGCUCGUAGGCGGCCAACUAAGUCAGACGUGAAAUCCCUCGGCUUAACCGGGGAACUGCGUCUGAUACUGGAUGGCUUGAGUUUGGGAGAGGGAUGCGGAAUUCCAGGUGUAGCGGUGAAAUGCGUAGAUAUCUGGAGGAACACCGGUGGCGAAGGCGGCAUCCUGGACCAACACUGACGCUGAGGAGCGAAAGCCAGGGGAGCAAACGGG
This 253-nucleotide ribosomal RNA is filed under the name uncultured bacterium. RNAcentral describes it as "partial 16S ribosomal RNA". It matches the Rfam family "Bacterial small subunit ribosomal RNA", at positions 524 to 776 of the family's 1533-position model. The record is from RNAcentral.